RNAcentral lists this ribosomal RNA (240 nucleotides) under uncultured bacterium. RNAcentral's name for it is "partial 16S ribosomal RNA". It matches the Rfam family "Bacterial small subunit ribosomal RNA", at positions 1252 to 1500 of the family's 1533-position model. The record is from RNAcentral.
AUGCGGCGACGCAGAGCGGAACCCGAAAACCUGUCUCAGUUCGGAUUGGAGUCUGCAACCCGACUCCAUGAAGCUGGAUUCGCUAGUAAUCGCGCAUCAGCCACGGCGCGGUGAAUACGUUCCCGGGCCUUGUACACACCGCCCGUCAAGCCAUGGAAGCCGGGAGUGCCUGAAGUGCGUGAGCGCAAGCAGCGCCCUAAGGUAAAACCGGUGACUGGGGCUAAGUCGUAACAAGGUAGC